UCCUGCCCUUUCAACACCUCCCUCCUCUUCCACCCCCAAAUAACUCUGUGGAGCUGUCAGGCUUUUUGCACCUUAAUGUGAAGACACUUUGUGGGUCCUCCCCAGACCUGCCCCCAACAAAGGAGCCUGUUGCCCAGCACAGAAUCACAGGACGUCGGAUCCAGGUGCACAGAAUACCCCGCACCUCCGCCAGAGACACACAGCCCUCUUCCUGGGGUUGUGGAGGGGGGGCAGUUGUGGCUUGCACCCAGCCAAGGAUUUUCAGAUUUGAAGACAUUAUGUUCCUUUUGUAUCCAGGAUGGAGUCUGUGCUCAUCUUCCAACAAAAUUAAAACACUGUCACAUCUGACCUUUGAGUGGGGGCUCUUUCAGCUCAUGGGKGUUGCCCUGAAGAAGUAAGGCUGGAUGCCCUUCCCUGAAGAGCAUUUUCAGCAAACAGAGGCACCCUUCUCCUGCACCUGUUACCACACUGUAUCCUUCAGAUCAUCUUCUGGACAUACUGGUGGGUCUCUAAGAUGAAGCUACCAUGCCAUAGUUUAAGCUCAACUAGUUUGACAGAAACUAAAGUUCUUAAAUUGUCACACCACUAUGGGAAUCUUGAGCACACACGCUUCUCAGAUGGAUCUACUAAAGAGUUUUCAUGUUCCAGAAUAAGAAGGAAGAAAAUAGAGGCAUGCCAUUCAUCUUUGAACUUGACUUUAUAUUUAUGAUAUUUAUAGUGUUUUAAAUAGUUUUCAUCCUAUUGACUAGAGGAAGUUUAAUAACUAGAUGGUAUUGAAAAUUGUAGUUCUUUAUGUAAGAGAGUCCUUUCUAAACUUACAUGUUUAAGCAGUUUUUACCAUGUGCUAUACAUACAUGGAUAUAUUGCUGGUGGUUUUCAGAUCUCCCAGAUAGUAGAAAAAAAUCAAUGACUUUGUUUUAGAUUUUCGAUGAGAUAACCC
RNAcentral lists this long non-coding RNA (940 nucleotides) under Urocitellus parryii (Arctic ground squirrel). RNAcentral's name for it is "lncRNA (ENSUPAG00010021885.1)". The record is from RNAcentral. Lineage: Eukaryota; Metazoa; Chordata; Mammalia; Rodentia; Sciuridae.